Molecule: long non-coding RNA, 290 nt
Filed under: Homo sapiens (human)
Lineage: Eukaryota; Metazoa; Chordata; Mammalia; Primates; Hominidae
Description: HSALNT0281563
Source: RNAcentral
GGGGCAGAAAGAAGACAGACGCUUGGCUUAAGGUUUCCAAUCCUGAGUGAAACAGAGCAGGGCAUGAAGGGCAAGAGUGGAACUGAGAGAGAAGAGGAAAAUGACUGGCAAUAUACCCCAGCCUUAAGUCCCCACCUUAUGGCAGAAGAACCGAGGGGAAGGGGGAAGGAUGAGCAUUCAGAUGAGACCCCAGGCCUGGCUGACACCUUGAUAGCAGCCUCAUGAAGGACUGAAGCAAAGGAUCGAGCUAAGCCACACCCAGAUUCCUGCCCCCCUACCCCUAGACACGG